CUCUGUUUUAUACAUAAAACCGCAUGGUUUUUUAUUUCUAUUUUGCUUAAUUUUGACUAUUACUCUAGCCGGCUGUUUUGAUGGCUGCUGUGACUACUACUACCAACACUGCCAACAACACCCCCUCUUGCUCUCUCUCACUCUUUUAAACACCUUCCAAUAUGUUUUUUUACAUUUGACUGUUAAUAUUUUGUUUUCAAAUGUAGUUCAUUGUAGUCGUAGUUUUUUUUUUUUUAUUUAUUUCUUGCAAAGAGGGGUUUGCUACUAGCUGUAAGGGAAAGGGGGGACUCCUUGUUUUCUGUCGCUUUAUUAUUUCAAUUCAUUCUAAUGUCUACUAAGAACGAAGACGGAGCUUUUUUUCCACAAGCAGUGUGGUCUUCACUAAAUAAAACUUAAAAAAGUUAAAUAAAUAAAAAAAAAACACGACAAACCGGGCCGUAUGUCGUCGUUUUUAUUUAUUUUUUUCACAAAACACGCGUUUUCUGUCUUAAAAUUAAAUUUUUCUUUCAACGAAAUUUUUAAAAUUGUGAAAUCAAAUGUUUAAUUAAAAAGAAAAAAAGUGAAUUUUAUUUAAAAUUUAUAUUUAAAAAAAGUGUUAUUUCUUAUGCAAAGUAAUGUGUAAAAAAAGAGAGUUUUUGUGUUAAAAUUUAAAUUAAUUUUAUACUAUCACUGCCGCCACCCCAAACGCCGGUAUUAAGAGCAACUGCACACACACGGAAAAAUAAAAGCCGCAAGAAAUUUAAAAAAGAAAUUAUAUUAAAGUAAAUCGAAAAUUUUUUACUUCUUCAACUGCUGCCGUGCCGCCUGUUCUUAAACAAUUCUUCAACAUAUUUCAAGGAAAUUUUUGUUUGUUAUUUAUUAUUGGAAAACUUUAAAAAAGAAAACUAAACUGCAACAAAAUGUUAGGAAGUAUAAUUUGUAAACUUUGAUAAAAAGUUUGAAACUGACAACCUUACCAAAGAGAACUGUCACAAUUUCCUCUACAUAUAAUACAAAUUAAAGUCUGCUCUAUAGAAUACACUAUAAUAUAUUCUAUAUUAUAUUCAUUUUAAAAUCCUCGUUUCUCUUAUUUCAAUUCUAUCCAAAAAACAAUACACACACACGCACUCACCCUGUCAGUAUGAAAUGUCAAAUAAAUGGAAAUUUUUCAUUUGGCAAAAGAUACUCUGGUUUGUUUUCAAGAUCUUAUGAAAUUUGCUGCAAUUUUUAAGAAAUAUUUCAUCAUUAAGACAAAGAAUUCAUAAUAAUAUCUAUUAUUUAACUGCUAAAGUUCAAUGUUUAAAAUAUUUAAAUAUAAAUAAAUGAUUCUUCUAACGGAAUUUUAUGACUAAUUUAUAAAAGAGGGGAAUUUUCCAAUCUGGACAUGUUAAUUUUGAAUAUUAUGAAAAUUCUAAGGAAAUAUUUUUUCUAUAACUUAUGAAAGGAAAUUAUAAUUAAGUGUUGACUCAUAGGAAAAAAAAUUCUAAAAAUGAGACUAGAAGAUGUGCGGAUUUAGAC
Lucilia cuprina (Australian sheep blowfly) is the source of this 1497-nucleotide long non-coding RNA. RefSeq lists it as uncharacterized. NCBI's taxonomy places the organism in Eukaryota, Metazoa, Arthropoda, Insecta, Diptera, Calliphoridae. The transcript is spliced from 3 exons. The record is from RefSeq and is a predicted model, not a curated record.